Molecule: long non-coding RNA, 586 nt
Filed under: Helianthus annuus (common sunflower)
Lineage: Eukaryota; Viridiplantae; Streptophyta; Magnoliopsida; Asterales; Asteraceae
Source: RNAcentral
UAAAUUGUUCUAAGUUGGGGCCCUUGUGCUUCAUACUUGAACAUCCAAGAUCAACUCCCUCCUUGCUUGGACCUUUUGUAAGUGUCCUUUCAUGCUUAAUUUAGGAGCCCAGUAAAAGCUAUCUGUACUUGCUUGGUGGUAUACGGCUGGGAUAAAUUGUAUAAAUUUGCUCAGGUAAAUACUUUUAACUUAUUUUCCCUAUACGGGCUUGGGGUACGGUAUAUAAAAUACCGCUUGGUCGGGCAUUGAAUCUUUAAUCAAAUGAAGGUUAAAUCAUUGAAAUGACCCGUUAAAAUUGUUUUGUUUGCUUAAAGCCUUUGGGGGGUUAAUGACCAUGUCCCGGAUAUCCUUGGCAUCAUUUUAUGAAAUGGCCACGACCUAAGCAUGCGGGUGUAGGCGUACACCCGUUUGUGCAUAAAUAAAUAUUAAGGUAUAACCGCCGGUUUUGGGUUUAACCGCUGCGGGAAUAUACCAUGUGGUGUGUCUAUUGAUCUUUAACCCGGUGUCAACCCGGGCUACUGAACGCAUAAGAAACAUGUAAAUCUUUUACAAGUUUAUAUUCAAAUAAUUGUCCCAAUUUAUAAAA